AAAUUGAAGAGUUUGAUCAUGGCUCAGAUUGAACGCUGGCGGCAGGCCUAACACAUGCAAGUCGAACGGUAACAGGAAACAGCUUGCUGUUUCGCUGACGAGUGGCGGACGGGUGAGUAAUGUCUGGGAAACUGCCUGAUGGAGGGGGAUAACUACUGGAAACGGUAGCUAAUACCGCAUAACGUCGCAAGACCAAAGAGGGGGACCCUCGGGCCUCUUGCCAUCGGAUGUGCCCAGAUGGGAUUAGCUUGUUGGUGGGGUAACGGCUCACCAAGGCGA
This 279-nucleotide ribosomal RNA is filed under the name Escherichia coli. Its description in RNAcentral is "partial 16S ribosomal RNA". It matches the Rfam family "Bacterial small subunit ribosomal RNA", at positions 1 to 276 of the family's 1533-position model. Lineage: Bacteria; Pseudomonadati; Pseudomonadota; Gammaproteobacteria; Enterobacterales; Enterobacteriaceae. The record is from RNAcentral.